Molecule: ribosomal RNA, 369 nt
Filed under: uncultured Streptococcus sp.
Lineage: Bacteria; Bacillati; Bacillota; Bacilli; Lactobacillales; Streptococcaceae
Description: bacterial SSU rRNA
Rfam family: Bacterial small subunit ribosomal RNA
Source: RNAcentral
GAAGUUACUCGGUACAUCGGUGACAGGUGGUGCAUGGUUGUCGUCAGCUCGUGUCGUGAGAUGUUGGGUUAAGUCCCGCAACGAGCGCAACCCCUAUUGUUAGUUGCCAUCAUUCAGUUGGGCACUCUAGCGAGACUGCCGGUAAUAAACCGGAGGAAGGUGGGGAUGACGUCAAAUCAUCAUGCCCCUUAUGACCUGGGCUACACACGUGCUACAAUGGUUGGUACAACGAGUUGCGAGUCGGUGACGGCGAGCUAAUCUCUUAAAGCCAAUCUCAGUUCGGAUUGUAGGCUGCAACUCGCCUACAUGAAGUCGGAAUCGCUAGUAAUCGCGGAUCAGCACGCCGCGGUGAAUACGUUCCCGGGCCUU